GGGACUGUGGUAAUUGGCUGCCGGAGGGGUGGGAGGAAAGAGUGGAAGGGAAGCUUGUGAAGGGGUGGGCACCGCAGGUAGAGAUACUGAGCCAUGUGUCAGUAGGGGCGUUUCUGACACACUGUGGAUGGAACUCGGUGCUGGAAGCGGCGGCGGCUGGGGUGCCGAUGCUUACAUGGCCUCUGGUGGUGGAGCAGUUCAUUAACGAGAGGCUGGUGGUAGAGGUCAUGAGGGCAGGAGCGAGGGUGUGGGACGGUCCUCGAAGUACUGAGGAGUCCGAAAAGGUGGUGGUUCCUGGGGAGGCGAUCGGGAAAGCAGUGGCGGCAUUCAUGGAUCCCAGCGGGGAUGGAGAGGCUGCACGGGGAAGAGCAAGGGAGUAUGCAGCUAAGGCGAAGGCGGCGGUUGCCGAGGGAGGUUCGUCUACAAUGGAUCUCCAUUCGAUGAUCGAUGAGCUUAUGGUGGAGGCCGGAAAGAAAGGAAAUCCAACUCAAAUUUGAGAUUUAUGAGUUUAGUCUCAUCUUAAUAAUUGCCUUGUUUUCAUUUGUUUUGUUUGCUAGUGGUUUAGUCUCAAAUUUGAUGCUUGUUGACCCAACU
Molecule: unclassified non-coding RNA, 594 nt
Filed under: Hevea brasiliensis (rubber tree)
Lineage: Eukaryota; Viridiplantae; Streptophyta; Magnoliopsida; Malpighiales; Euphorbiaceae
Source: RNAcentral